Colossoma macropomum (tambaqui) is the source of this 425-nucleotide long non-coding RNA. RefSeq lists it as uncharacterized. Lineage: Eukaryota; Metazoa; Chordata; Actinopteri; Characiformes; Serrasalmidae. The transcript is spliced from 3 exons. The record is from RefSeq and is a predicted model, not a curated record.
GCAGAUUUGUGUGUGUUUGAGAGAGAGAGAGAGAGAGAGAGAGAAAGAGAGAGAGAGAAAGAAAGAGAGAGAGAGAGAAAAGCAUCUGGACUCUAUGAGGGAAAGUGCUGACACUAGAUAAGACUGUUUAUAACUGCUAGACUGCUAAUCGUGGGUGGAUAGUGGAAACAGACACAGACAGAGACAAAACGAGAGGGCGGGUUGGCAGGACAGCAAGACAAGGGAACUCUGUGGAGUGAUGUGAGAAAUAUGGAUACUACUGGAGAGUGGUGAAUAGCUUUAUUACAUUCAUCCUCUGAACAGUGAGGACAAGGCUAGGUCAGCGAUGCAGCACUGGCCGUUCCUCUUCACCAGAAUGUUGCGGCUCUUGAGGUCACGGUGGGCGAUGGCAGGCUUGCCCUGGGUGCCAAGGAUCUCCGUGUGCA